CACGUAGGCAACCUGCCUCGAAGUGGGGGACAACAGCCCGAAAGGGUUGCUAAUACCGCAUGUGAACAGUUGAGGGCAUCCUUGAUUGUUCAAAGCCUUGUGCGCUUCGAGAUGGGCUUGCGGCCUAUCAGGUAGUUGGUGGGGUAAUGGCCUACCAAGCCGACGACGGGUAGCUGGUCUGAGAGGACGAUCAGCCGGAUUGGGACUGAGAUACGGCCCAG
Molecule: ribosomal RNA, 221 nt
Filed under: uncultured bacterium
Lineage: Bacteria
Description: partial 16S ribosomal RNA
Rfam family: Bacterial small subunit ribosomal RNA
Source: RNAcentral